CUAAACCGGCGUUUGGCUUGCUAUCCAUGCAAGUCGACGAACUUCCGUUAAUUGAUUAUGAAGUGCUUGCACUGAAUGAGAUUUUAACACGAAGUGAGUGGCGGACGGGUGAGUAACACGUGGGUAACCUGCCCAGAAGCAGGGGAUAACACCUGGAAACAGAUGCUAAUACCGUAUAACAGAGAAAACCGCCUGGUUUUCUUUUAAAAGAUGGCUCUGCUAUCACUUCUGGAUGGACCCGCGGCGCAUUAGCUAGUUGGUGAGGUAACGGCUCACCAAGGCGAUGAUGCGUAGCCGACCUGAGAGGGUAAUCGGCCACAUUGGGACUGAGACACGGCCCAGACUCCUACGGGAGGCAGCAGUAGGGAAUCUUCCACAAUGGACGCAAGUCUGAUGGAGCAACGCCGCGUGAGUGAAGAAGGGUUUCGGCUCGUAAAGCUCUGUUGUUAAAGAAGAACGUGGGUGAGAGUAACUGUUCACCCAGUGACGGUAUUUAACCAGAAAGCCACGGCUAACUACGUGCCAGCAGCCGCGGUAAUACGUAGGUGGCAAGCGUUAUCCGGAUUUAUUGGGCGUAAAGCGAGCGCAGGCGGUCUUUUAAGUCUAAUGUGAAAGCCUUCGGCUCAACCGAAGAAGUGCAUUGGAAACUGGGAGACUUGAGUGCAGAAGAGGACAGUGGAACUCCAUGUGUAGCGGUGAAAUGCGUAGAUAUAUGGAAGAACACCAGUGGCGAAGGCGGCUGUCUGGUCUGUAACUGACGCUGAUCUCGAAAGCAUGGGUAGCGAACAGGAUUAGAUACCCUGGUAGUCCAUGCCGUAACGAUGAUUACUAAGUGUUGGAGGUUUUCCGCCCAUUCAGUUGCCUGCAGCUACGCCAUAAGUUAUUCCGGCCUUGGGGGUAAGUUACGAAACCUCGGACUACA
This 922-nucleotide ribosomal RNA is filed under the name Pediococcus acidilactici. RNAcentral's name for it is "bacterial SSU rRNA". It matches the Rfam family "Bacterial small subunit ribosomal RNA", at positions 29 to 904 of the family's 1533-position model. Lineage: Bacteria; Bacillati; Bacillota; Bacilli; Lactobacillales; Lactobacillaceae. The record is from RNAcentral.